GAAACUUUUGAAUUACACAAAACAGUUGUUGUUACUCACCAAUCUGAGAAGAAGGAGAUAAUGGAUAAAGAGGACACUACAUUCGCCUUGUAGUACGACGAAACCCGUCUGAUCCAUUAAGCAAGAAAGAUGAAGCGUGAUCAUGGAAUGAUGGAAAUGGAAAGAUAAGAUACUUGCCUCAUAUAUGAUUCAAAAUUGCCAGUAAAAAGAUGAUUAAUGGCCCUUUCAGCGGGAGCAGUUUCUCGUGAAAUAAUUCGGAAAAUAACUCCUGAGAUUAUGGGCUGACAUAACAGACCAUCAAAUUCGAAAAAUAUUCUGGAUCGCCCGCUCAAUUUCGGAUCCUCUGGUAAUUAAAGCUGGAAGCAGUUGCAAUUUGAACUGGGUCAGUACCCGUUAUCUUGUGGAUGAUCCAAGCAGCUUGUUUAUUUACGUGUAGCACCCUGGGCAGUAUACAAAGAAAAUAAAAUGAAGGGCAGAAAAGGUCAUUUGGCAUAUCCUUUGUAUUCACAAAUUAGGAUUAUAUAGAUA
RNAcentral lists this long non-coding RNA (528 nucleotides) under Daucus carota (carrot). RNAcentral's name for it is "long non-coding RNA (DCAR_LNC004473)". The record is from RNAcentral. Lineage: Eukaryota; Viridiplantae; Streptophyta; Magnoliopsida; Apiales; Apiaceae.